This 254-nucleotide ribosomal RNA is filed under the name uncultured bacterium. RNAcentral describes it as "partial 16S ribosomal RNA". It matches the Rfam family "Bacterial small subunit ribosomal RNA", at positions 524 to 776 of the family's 1533-position model. The record is from RNAcentral.
UACGGGGGGAGCAAGCGUUGUUCGGAUUUACUGGGCGUAAAGGGCGUGUAGGCGGCCACCGCAAGUCGACUGUGAAAUCUCCGGGCUUAACUCGGAAAGGUCAGCCGAUACUGCGGGGCUAGAGUGCAGAAGGGGCAACUGGAAUUCUCGGUGUAGCGGUGAAAUGCGUAGAUAUCGAGAGGAAUACCUAUGGCGAAGGCAGGUUACUGGGCCGUCACUGACGCUGAGCUGCGAAAGCUAGGGGAGCAAACAGG